AAUAGAUACCCGGGUAGUCCACGCCGUAAACGAUGGAUGCUAGCUAUUGGGGGGAAUCGACCCCCUCCGAAGCGAAGCUAACGCGUUAAGCAUCCCGCCUGAGUAGUACGAGCGCAAGCUUAAAACUCAAAGGAAUUGACGGGGACCCGCACAAGCGGUGGAGCGUGUGGUUUAAUUCGAUGGUAAACGAAGAACCUUACCAAGGUUUGACAUCCCGGUAGCCGUUCUCCGAAAGGAGAAUUUCAUUUAGUUGGACCGGUGACAGGUGAUGCAUGGCCGUCGUCAGCUCGUGUCGUGAGAUGUUGGGUUAAGUCCCGCAACGAGCGCAACCCUUAUGAUUUAGUUGGAUUUUUCUAAACAGACUGCCCUGGUAACAGGGAGGAAGGAGGGGAUGAUGUCAGGUCAGUAUUUCCCUUACACCUUGGGGCGACGACACGCGCUACAAUGGCCGGUACAAUGGGCAGCUAAGCCGCGAGGUGGAGCAAAUCCCAUCAAAGCCGGUCCCAGUUCGGAUUGCAGGCUGAAACCCGCCUGCAUGAAGCCGGAAUCGCUAGUAACC
Molecule: ribosomal RNA, 559 nt
Filed under: uncultured bacterium
Lineage: Bacteria
Description: bacterial SSU rRNA
Rfam family: Bacterial small subunit ribosomal RNA
Source: RNAcentral